AUUGAACGCUGGCGGCAGGCUUAACACAUGCAAGUCGAGCGGAGAUGAGGUGCUUGCACCUUAUCUUAGCGGCGGACGGGUGAGUAAUGCUUAGGAAUCUGCCUAUUAGUGGGGGUCAACAUUCCGAAAGGAAUGCUAAUACCGCAUACGUCCUACGGGAGAAAGCAGGGGAUCUUCGGACCUUGCGCUAAUAGAUGAGCCUAAGUCGGAUUAGCUAGUUGGUGGGGUAAAGGCCUACCAAGGCGACGAUCUGUAGCGGGUCUGAGAGGAUGAUCCGCCACACUGGGACUGAGACACGGCCCGGACGCCUACGGGAGGCAGCAGUGGGGAAUAUUGGACAAUGGGGGAAACCCUGAUCCAGCCAUGCCGCGUGUGUGAAGAAGGCCUUAUGGUUGUAAAGCACUUUAAGCGAGGAGGAGGCUACUGAGACUAAUACUCUUGGAUAGUGGACGUUACUCGCAGAAUAAGCACCGGCUAACUCUGUGCCAGCCGCCGCCGUAA
RNAcentral lists this ribosomal RNA (501 nucleotides) under uncultured bacterium. RNAcentral describes it as "partial 16S ribosomal RNA". It matches the Rfam family "Bacterial small subunit ribosomal RNA", at positions 30 to 523 of the family's 1533-position model. The record is from RNAcentral.